CUGUUUUUUAGCUAUUCCCUGCCCCAUGUAAAUAGAUAAAUGGCCUCCUGAGCUAAGGUAGCAUAAUAAAUUUUAAGUUAAUUACUUAAUAGAAUGAAAGCGAAUACUGGGAGUCAAAAAUUUAAAUCGCAACUACCGAAACUAAAUUAAAAGUGAAAUUUCUUUUAAAAUUCACAUAGAAGAGAAGACCCUAAAACUUUUUAAGACUGAGUCAGACGAGUCGCUGAAAAUUAAUUGGGGUAAUUAACUAAAAUAAUAAACUCUAGUUUUCAAGAAAAGAGCCUUAAGGAUUAAAUGUGCAAAGUACUUUAGGGAUAACAGCGCCGCGGCUAAAAAAGUUCUCAUUAAAAAAGCCAAUAGCGACAUCGAUGUUGAAUUAAGAACUAAGCGCAGAAGCUAAUAAGUCUGUUCGACUUAUUUUUCUU
Molecule: ribosomal RNA, 425 nt
Filed under: Cletocamptus deitersi
Lineage: Eukaryota; Metazoa; Arthropoda; Copepoda; Harpacticoida; Cletodidae
Description: partial 16S ribosomal RNA
Source: RNAcentral